Molecule: ribosomal RNA, 521 nt
Filed under: Enterococcus faecium
Lineage: Bacteria; Bacillati; Bacillota; Bacilli; Lactobacillales; Enterococcaceae
Description: bacterial SSU rRNA
Rfam family: Bacterial small subunit ribosomal RNA
Source: RNAcentral
CGGAAAAAGAGGAGUGGCGAACGGGUGAGUAACACGUGGGUAACCUGCCCAUCAGAAGGGGAUAACACUUGGAAACAGGUGCUAAUACCGUAUAACAAUCGAAACCGCAUGGUUUUGAUUUGAAAGGCGCUUUCGGGUGUCGCUGAUGGAUGGACCCGCGGUGCAUUAGCUAGUUGGUGAGGUAACGGCUCACCAAGGCCACGAUGCAUAGCCGACCUGAGAGGGUGAUCGGCCACAUUGGGACUGAGACACGGCCCAAACUCCUACGGGAGGCAGCAGUAGGGAAUCUUCGGCAAUGGACGAAAGUCUGACCGAGCAACGCCGCGUGAGUGAAGAAGGUUUUCGGAUCGUAAAACUCUGUUGUUAGAGAAGAACAAGGAUGAGAGUAACUGUUCAUCCCUUGACGGUAUCUAACCAGAAAGCCACGGCUAACUACGUGCCAGCAGCCGCGGUAAUACGUAGGUGGCAAGCGUUGUCCGGAUUUAUUGGGGCGUAAAGCGAGCGCAGGCGGUUUCUUAAGU